Molecule: small RNA, 524 nt
Filed under: Pongo abelii (Sumatran orangutan)
Lineage: Eukaryota; Metazoa; Chordata; Mammalia; Primates; Hominidae
Description: processed transcript
Source: RNAcentral
GUAAUACCUGAGAGGGAAGUGGCUUCAUUUCAGUGGCUGACUUCCACAGAGCAAUAUGGCUGGUUCCCCAACAUGCCUCACCCUCAUCUAUAUCCUUUGGCAGCUCACAGAUCAGGAAGAGACUAGAGAGAGGGGGAAAAAUGGCUCUGGGAACUGACUCCCCUAUUGACUGUCCCAGGGAUGAAGGAGCUGAAAGAAGUGGUGCUGGGUAUCAGAGACCAUUUUUCUAAUCCAGGUUCUGCCAUGAGUUAGAUAAGGAAUGUUAAAGUUUUCCUGGGCCUCAGAAACUUUAUCUUCUAGCCUUCUCUCCUUUUGAGGGCAACUUUAAGAACAAAAUGAUACUAUACAGGGUCAGCAGUUUCUGGACCCGUGAAAGAGCUGGUCGGUUCCGUUGGUGGGGCCGUGACUUUCCCCCUGAAGCCCAAAGUAAAGCAGGUUGACUCUAUUGUCUGGACCUUCAACACAACCUCUCUUGUCACCAUACAGCCAGAAGGGGGCACUAUCAUAGUGACCCAAAAUCGUAA